Molecule: ribosomal RNA, 423 nt
Filed under: uncultured bacterium
Lineage: Bacteria
Description: partial 16S ribosomal RNA
Rfam family: Bacterial small subunit ribosomal RNA
Source: RNAcentral
GAAUUUUGGACAAUGGGCGAAAGCCUGAACCAGCCAAGCCGCCUGCAGGGAGAAGGCCUUCGGGUUGUAAAAUGCUUUUGUACGGAACGAAAAGCUUUGGGUUAAUACCCCGGAUGCAUGACGGUACCGGAAGAAUAAGCACCGGCUACAUGCGAGCACGCCGCCUCGGUACUACGUAGGGUGCAAGCGUUAAUGGGAAUUAAUGGGCGUAAAGCGUGCUCAGGCGGUUUUGUAAGACAGAGGUGAAAUCCCCGGGCUCAACCUGGGAACUGCCUUUGUGACCGCAAGGCUAGAGUACGGCAGAGGGGGGUGGAAUUCCGCGUGUAGCAGUGAAAUGCGUAGAUAUGCGGAGGAACACCGAUGGCGAAGGCAACCCCCUGGGCCUGUACUGACGCUCAUGCACGAAAGCGUGGGGAGCAAACA